RNAcentral lists this ribosomal RNA (409 nucleotides) under bacterium. RNAcentral describes it as "partial 16S ribosomal RNA". It matches the Rfam family "Bacterial small subunit ribosomal RNA", at positions 355 to 776 of the family's 1533-position model. The record is from RNAcentral.
UGGGGAAUAUUGCACAAUGGGCGAAAGCCUGAUGCAGCGACGCCGCGUGAGGGAUGACGGCCUUCGGGUUGUAAACCUCUUUCAGCAGGGACGAAGCGCAAGUGACGGUACCUGCAGAAGAAGCACCGGCUAACUACGUGCCAGCAGCCGCGGUAAUACGUAGGGUGCAAGCAUUGUCCGGAAUUACUGGGCGUAAAGAGUUCGUAGGCGGUUUGUCGCGUCGUUUGUGAAAACCAGCUGCUCAACUGCUGGCUUGCAGGCGAUACGGGCAGACUUGAGUACUGCAGGGGAGACUGGAAUUCCUGGUGUAGCGUUGAAAUGCGCAGAUAUCAGGAGGAACACCGGUGGCGAAGGCGGGUCUCUGGGCAGUAACUGACGCUGAGGAACGAAAGCGUGGGUAGCGAACAGG